This is a long non-coding RNA of Thunnus maccoyii (southern bluefin tuna), 578 nucleotides long. RefSeq lists it as uncharacterized. The transcript has 3 exons. NCBI's taxonomy places the organism in Eukaryota, Metazoa, Chordata, Actinopteri, Scombriformes, Scombridae. The record is from RefSeq and is a predicted model, not a curated record.
CGGACGCAGGUUCGCUUCUAUGGAAGCCGAGAGGCGCAGAUAUUCAUCAUGCGUCGCGUGACAGUUUGCAUCUUUAGUUUGGGACCAGAGUCACAUCACACUCAGGAAGACAAACAAGCGUCCUGUGGAAGGUCAGCAGAAGGCGGGAAGAUGAUGCCCUCUAGUGGUGGAAAAAAGUCCUGACUAGAACAAUAACAAGUCCUGCAACAAAGAGGCACAGCUUCAGGGUCAGGAAUAAACCAGUCAGAGCUGCUUGUGCUGGUCGUUGCACCUCCGUGAAAAAAGGGCCAUUUUUGGGCGAACCAGAAAUCUAAAAUAAUGUCAACUGUCCUGAGUUAUAGCCGCCUGUGAAAUGUUUUUAACGCUGUGAACAGUUUUUAUCAUGUCGCAUGUCUCAAACAAUCAGGAUCAGUCGAGAAACACAAAAUGUUUGGCUCAAAAUAACAGCUGACGUCAUUUUUAAUACAAAGUUCAACUGAGACAUUCUGUAUCAUCUUUACUAUGUUACUCAUUUUAGUCUUUUUUCUUAAACUUGAAGCCAAAACAUUGUUUCAGGUAAUGUUGAAGAUUUGGAAAAU